Molecule: ribosomal RNA, 253 nt
Filed under: uncultured bacterium
Lineage: Bacteria
Description: partial 16S ribosomal RNA
Rfam family: Bacterial small subunit ribosomal RNA
Source: RNAcentral
UACGAAGGGGGCUAGCGUUGCUCGGAAUCACUGGGCGUAAAGCGCACGUAGGCGGAUCGCUAAGUCAGGGGUGAAAUCCUGGAGCUCAACUCCAGAACUGCCUUUGAUACUGGCAAUCUCGAGUCCGGGAGAGGUGAGUGGAACUGCGAGUGUAGAGGUGAAAUUCGUAGAUAUUCGCAAGAACACCCGUGGCGAAGGCGGCUCUCUGGGACGGUACUGACGCUGAGACGCGAAAGCGUGGGGAGCAAACAGG